GGCGGCGUNCCUAACACAUGCAAGUCGGACGCGAAAGCUCCUUCGGGAGUGAGUAGAGUGGCGCACGGGUGAGUAACGCGUAGGUAAUCUACCUCUGGAUUGGGGAUAACUCUGCGAAAGCGGAGCUAAUACCGAAUGGUCUGGCUUUAUUUUGAUGAAGUCGGUAAAGGAUGCCUCUGCAUAUGCAUCUGUCCGGAGAUGAGCCUGCGUCCCAUUAGCUAGUUGGUAGGGUAAAGGCCUACCAAGGCGACGAUGGGUAGCUGGUCUGAGAGGAUGAUCAGCCACACUGGAACUGGAACACGGUCCAGACUCCUACGGGAGGCAGCAGUGGGGAAUAUUGGGCAAUGGGCGCAAGCCUGACCCAGCAACGCCGUGUGAGGGAUGAAGGCCUUCGGGUCGUAAACCUCUGUCAGAAGGGAAGAACGGGCACAGUUCGAAUAGGGCUGUGUUUUGACGGUACCUUCAGAGGAAGCACCGGCUAACUCCGUGCCAGCAGCCGCGGUAAUACGGAGGGUGCGAGCGUUAUUCGGAAUCACUGGGCGUAAAGGGCGCGUAGGCGGCCUGGUAAGUCAGGGGUGAAAUCCCACGGCUCAACCGUGGAAUUGCCUUUGAAACUGCUGGGCUUGGAUCCUGGAGAGGGUGGCGGAAUUCCUGGUGUAGGAGUGAAAUCCGUAGAUAUCAGGAGGAACACCGGUGGCGAAGGCGGCCACCUGGACAGGUAUCGACGCUGAGGCGCGAAAGUGUGGGGAGCAAACAGGAUUAGAUACCCUGGUAGUCCACACCGUAAACGAUGGAUACUAGGUGUUGGGGGCAUGACCCUCAGUGCCGGANCU
RNAcentral lists this ribosomal RNA (833 nucleotides) under uncultured Desulfocaldus sp. RNAcentral describes it as "bacterial SSU rRNA". It matches the Rfam family "Bacterial small subunit ribosomal RNA", at positions 38 to 853 of the family's 1533-position model. Lineage: Bacteria; Deltaproteobacteria. The record is from RNAcentral.